UCUCCGUAGGUGAACCUGCGGAGGGAUCAUUAACACGUUCCAUACCAACGAUCAACCCACUGUGAACCACACGUACCUGCCUCGACGGUGCCCAGAGCGACGCAACAGUGUGUGCCGAGAUCCAGGAUGAAGGUGAGUCGCGCAGAUCAAAAGACCGCGUGUUCGAGGUGUUUUGACGCGCGAUUCAUACGGGUCUAGCACACUAUAUGGCUUGUUGCCGGUAUGCCUGUAAAGCAUAGCCAGCAUGACAACUGUCGCCGCCUUGGGAGCGAGGCCCAACCAUAUUUAUAUGCGAUCAGCGGUGGGUCAUCGACCGCCGCAUCGUGUAUCCCCACGCCCUCUCUGCUGGCUGCUGCUCUGUAACAGUGCAGUGGCUCAGAGAGUCAAUAGUUAUACUUGAUCUCUCCAUACAGUGCGGCGAUGACGGUCUUGUCAUUGUCUGUCACAGUGAAAUCAAUGAACCAUGAACAACUCUUAGCAAUGGAUAUCUUGGUUCUC
This 498-nucleotide unclassified non-coding RNA is filed under the name plant metagenome. RNAcentral describes it as "partial contains small subunit ribosomal RNA, internal transcribed spacer 1, and 5.8S ribosomal RNA". The record is from RNAcentral.